Non-coding RNA from Araneus ventricosus, 75 nucleotides. The record is from the annotation of a GenBank genome assembly. NCBI's taxonomy places the organism in Eukaryota, Metazoa, Arthropoda, Arachnida, Araneae, Araneidae.
CCGACCAUAGCUCAAUGGUUAGAGCACUGGUCUUACAUAAACCAGGGUCGUGAGUUUCAAUCCUCACUGGUGGCU